This 253-nucleotide ribosomal RNA is filed under the name uncultured bacterium. RNAcentral describes it as "partial 16S ribosomal RNA". It matches the Rfam family "Bacterial small subunit ribosomal RNA", at positions 524 to 776 of the family's 1533-position model. The record is from RNAcentral.
AACGUAGGACGCAAGCGUUAUCCGGAAUUACUGGGCGUAAAGCGCGUGCAGGCGGGUCUGCAAGUCAUUUGUGAAAGCUCCUGGCUAAACUGGGAGAGGUCGGAUGAGACUGCAGGUCUGGAGUAUGUCAGAGGCGUGUGGAAUUCCGCGUGUAGUGGUGAAAUGCGUAGAGAUGCGGAGGAACACCAGUGGCGAAGGCGGCACGCUGGGGCAUAACUGACGCUGAGGCGCGAAAGCAUGGGGAGCGAACGGG